Triticum aestivum (bread wheat) is the source of this 2718-nucleotide long non-coding RNA. RefSeq lists it as uncharacterized. The transcript has 3 exons. NCBI's taxonomy places the organism in Eukaryota, Viridiplantae, Streptophyta, Magnoliopsida, Poales, Poaceae. The record is from RefSeq and is a predicted model, not a curated record.
CUGCCCCGCCCCGCGCCGCCGGCCGCUUCCUGCCCCGCCCCGCCCGCGCCUCCGACUACCUCCUGCCCGGCCCCGCCCGCGCCGCCGGCCACCUCCUGCCCCGCCCCAUCUCCUCCUCAUCCGCGGAUUUCUUCGCUGUACACGGCUCCCCUGCACCUACUGGUCGCGACCUCACGGUAGGCAGAGAGGAUGGGAGGGUGCGGCGCUCGCGCCCGGAUCCCGGAGCUCGAGCGGACCGAUCUGCGCGUCGGCGACCUCGCGGUAGACAGAGGAUGGGAUGGUGUGCUGCGCUCGAGACGAGUGGGCUCGAGACGAGCGGGCUCGAGUAAGGAGAUUGGAGGGUGGGGCUCGCGGACGGGGAUGGAGAGGCGGGUGCCGGCAAGAUUGGGGGCGGGGAUGGAAAAGGCGGGGUCGGCAAGUUGGAAAUCUAAGGAUGGGAAGAGGCUGUGCUGCCGGCGGCCAUGAGUGGAGGAGGGCAUAAGCAGUGCUCCACCGUGGCGACCACCAGAUACCCUGCCUCCCGUUCAUCCCACGUUGUCACCGGCCUGCACCUCCGUGAGCUACCUGCCUUAGGAGUGUUUGGUGUGCACUCACAAGCUCGGCCAGGACACCAUCGAGUUUGACUUCCAGUUCAACGCUGAUGAAUUCUUCGAGCCCAACCACGGUCAGACUCCCCUUUCUCCUCCCAGUAGUUGUGCCACCCCUGAAGAAGAAACAUGGUGCCAAGUAAUUGAUUCACCCAGUUGUGUUUUCUUAAAUCUAGCAUAAGGAGCAUGUUAGAUUUCCAACAGACAUAACAUCCGAAAAAAUAAUCAUCAUUUACUUGAUUUCUCACACAAUUAACAGAAUCCACAAAAACAGCUUAACCAAACAAUUAGAGCAUGAGGAAGAGAUGAUUCAGACAGAGCUGCAGUUGAUGUGCCCCUGUGUGUGAAUUGCUGUUGUGCUAUGUGAGAGGUAAGAGCUUAAGAUGCCCACGACGCUGGCAUCGGCGCACUGAUUGUAGAGGCCGUUGCCAUGGUCAUUGCCCGGCGGUUCGUCCUUGAAUACCAAGCGGCUUGAUGACAACACCGGCAACGUUUCCUGUGAGCAACCAUCAACCUCAUAUUCAGAUGGUGUAAGCUCUUCAUUUGCUCACCAAAAUGAUUCGAAUUUUGUGUCAUGAUUUUGCACGUUGCGAUUAUUCCUUCUUACUGUAGUGUGAUGAUGACCGAGUACUGUUAAAUCUGUGAUGGCUGCACUUCUUCCUUGCAGGUGGCAAUCUGGCUCUGUAAAAUCUGUGAUGGCUGCAUUUCUUCCUUGCAGGUGGUAAUCUGGCUCUGUCUCCAUCCUCUGAAUCCAUCCUGACGUCUCAAACCUGUUUAGUUGCAUGCAACAUAUUACCACUCUUAUCAUCUUUCAAUACCAUAUAUGCGUGCAUCUGUCUAUUCCUCUUUUUUCCUCUUUCUUUCUUUUCUCAGUGCUCAGCUCCCCUGUAUGAUGCUUGUAAUGAGAUAGAUUGUCAGAGGCUGCACAUUGUGGAUUUGGUGGUAGAGGUGCAUGUCGGGAACGUGCACGGUGCAUCAACGCCGUGGUCUGCACCGUACCCAACGAAGGCCAUGGAGCCUGUGGGAGAGACGCAAAACCAAAUGGAACCCUCAACCUGAAGAUGUGGACUGCAAUGUUGCUCCUGGUAUAUAUUUGCUUCCACGGGAUAAUGCUCUAUUGCUGUUGUGGCCUCCUUGUGAUGCCUUCCCAGCUACCAUCUUCUUCACUGAAGCUACAUGAUAAAGUUUCAAAUUAUGAACUAGAUUUUUGCCAAUGGCAAUGUAUUAGUACUUUGUGUUAUGACUAAAGAAAGUACUUUGUGUCGGUAUCUGUCAUCAAACGUACAUUAGUACAGUUUGUAGUCAACCAAGCACAACUUCUGUGAUACUAAAAUUUUGCCGAUGGCAAUGUAUUAGUACUUUGUUUUCUGAAGAACCAAGUAGGAGCUCUGCCAAAAUACUGUUAAGAAGAGUGAAUGGAGUACUUACUGUGUAUAACUAUGGUUAUAACUAUCCAAAUUUUAUACGUAGAUUUUUCUUUUCAUAUUUAUAAGAUAGAAUCUCCUAUAAGCAAUAGUAUGGACGGAAUUUCUGCUGACUUACAUUUCUAUAAGAUUGAGAUAAUGAUACUACUGCUUAAAUCAUUACACCAAAGGUUGUAUACAAAGUCAAUGCCCCCUCGGUUAUACUGCCGAGAGCAUCCAUCACCAUGAUCAUGGGAGAGCAGGUUAGGCAUGUUACCACCAACAUGAUUUUUAAUGUUUCUUUCUUUGUAAUACUGAUCAUCUGUUUGACAUAGUGCCUAGCCAUGGUGCCAUGGUGCCAUGUGCAAGUCAUUGUUGAGGGCGCAUGGACAGAAUUGCAGAUCAAUAUCUAACACUAUGUGUCAGGUCUAGGAGACCGGGGCAUCCAGAUGAACCUCUUCGAGCAGUUUCACAUCAAAAGGAAGAUAAGAUGAGGCAGCAGCAGAUGGAUUGGGAGCUGCACUUCAUUAGUGCACCAUGACAUAGCGGCAAGGAUCGCUGACAAUUGGUACUCACCAGCCGCCCAGCACAUGCCAAGACCGCAUCUACAACCAUCAUGGAAUAUGUUUCAAGUCGGGAGAAGAUAACCAGUUCUAUUUUAACUUAGAAUAUGACGAUGAAUCAUAGCUCUGUGUGGAAAAUUCAAGUUCAUUUGAAAACCGUAUAUA